UGUAUGGUUAAGUGACUAAGCGUACACGGUGGAUGCCUGGGCAGUCAGAGGCGAUGAAGGACGUACUAACUUGCGAUAAGCGCAGAUAAGGCAGUAAGAGCCGUUUGAGUCUGCGAUUUCCGAAUGGGGAAACCCAACUGCAUAAGCAGUUACUGUUAACUGAAUACAUAGGUUAACAGAGCAAACCGGGGGAACUGAAACAUCUAAGUACCCCGAGGAGAAGAAAUCAACCGAGAUUCCGGUAGUAGCGGCGAGCGAACCUGGAUUAGCCCUUAAGCACUCGGUGAAGUAGGUGAACAAGCUGGAAAGCUUGGCGAUACAGGGUGAUAGCCCCGUAACCGACGCUUCA
Molecule: ribosomal RNA, 349 nt
Filed under: Vibrio cholerae
Lineage: Bacteria; Pseudomonadati; Pseudomonadota; Gammaproteobacteria; Vibrionales; Vibrionaceae
Description: partial 23S ribosomal RNA
Rfam family: Bacterial large subunit ribosomal RNA
Source: RNAcentral